UACAGAGGUCUCAAGCGUUGUUCGGAUUCACUGGGCGUAAAGGGCGCGUAGGCGGCCGUUCAAGUCGGGGGUGAAAGCCUGUGGCUCAACCACAGAAUGGCCUUCGAUACUGGACGGCUCGAGACCGGAAGAGGUCAGUGGAACUGCGAGUGUAGAGGUGAAAUUCGUAGAUAUUCGCAAGAACACCAGUGGCGAAGGCGGCUGACUGGUCCGGUUCUGACGCUGAGGCGCGAAAGCGUGGGGAGCAAACAGG
Molecule: ribosomal RNA, 253 nt
Filed under: uncultured bacterium
Lineage: Bacteria
Description: partial 16S ribosomal RNA
Rfam family: Bacterial small subunit ribosomal RNA
Source: RNAcentral